RNAcentral lists this ribosomal RNA (1462 nucleotides) under metagenome. Its description in RNAcentral is "bacterial LSU rRNA". It matches the Rfam family "Bacterial large subunit ribosomal RNA", at positions 1441 to 2925 of the family's 2925-position model. The record is from RNAcentral.
GUACUGCGGUAUGACAGAACUGUGGGGACACGUAAGGAAAGCGGAAGCCGGGAAUGGAAAGCCCGGUGCAAGCGGGGUACCAGCCACUUUGGCAAAUCCGGGUGGCAAUGGGAAGCCGUGAUGCGGAGCGAAAUAAAGUAGCGAAGUCCGUGAGCCAUGCGUCAAGGAAAGCCGCUAUCGUUCAUACCGUACCCGUACCGUAAACCGACACAGGUGGAUGAGGAGAGAAUCCUAAGGCCGGCGGAAGAAGCAUUGUCAAGGAACUCGGCAAAAUGGCCCCGUAACUUAGGGAUAAGGGGUGCCUGGGAAACCAGGCCGCAGAGAAUAGGCUCAAGCAACUGUUUAGCAAAAACACAGGUCUAUGCGAAACCGAAAGGUGAGGUAUAUGGGCUGACGCCUGCCCGGUGCUGGAAGGUUAAGAGGAGAGGUUAGCGGUAACGCGAAGCUUUGAAUUUAAGCCCCAGUAAACGGCGGCCGUAACCAUAACGGUCCUAAGGUAGCGAAAUUCCUUGUCGGGUAAGUUCCGACCCGCACGAAAGGUGUAAUGAUUUGAGCGCUGUCUCGACAAUGCAUCCGGUGAAAUUGAAGUACCAGUGAAGAUGCUGGUUACCUGCGCCAGGACGGAAAGACCCCAUGGAGCUUUACUCCAGUCUGGUACUGGGACUCGGUAUUGCAUGUACAGGAUAGGUGGGAGGCUGAGAAAUGGUAACGCCAGUUGCCAUGGAGCCGCUGUUGGGAUACCACCCUUGCAGUAUUGGGUUUCUAACCAGCCGCCGUGACCCGGCGGUGGGACAAUGCCAGACGGGGAGUUUGACUGGGGCGGUCGCCUCCGAAAGGGUAUCGGAGGCGCCCAAAGGUUCCCUCAGAAUGGACGGAAACCAUUCGAAGAGUGCAAAGGCAGAAGGGAGCUUGACUGCGACACCGACGGGUGGAGCAGGUACGAAAGUAGGGCUUAGUGAUCCGGUGGUAUUAAGUGGGAAUGCCAUCGCUCAACGGAUAAAAGCUACCCUGGGAUAACAGGCUUAUCACUCCCAAGAGUUCACAUCGACGGAGUGGUUUGGCACCUCGAUGUCGGCUCAUCGCAUCCUGGGGCUGUAGUAGGUCCCAAGGGUUGGGCUGUUCGCCCAUUAAAGCGGUACGCGAGCUGGGUUCAGAACGUCGUGAGACAGUUCGGUCCCUAUCCGGCGUGGGCGUAGGAUAUCUGAGAGGAGCUGUCCUUAGUACGAGAGGACCGGGAUGGACGGGCCGCUGGUGCAUCGGUUAGACUGCCAAGUCUACGGCCGAGUAGCCAAGCCCGGAAGGGAUAAACGCUGAAGGCAUCUAAGCGUGAAGCCCCCCUUAAGAUGAGAUAUCCCAUUCGAAAGAAGUAAACCCCCUUGAAGACGACGAGGUAGAUAGGGCAGAGGUGGAAGUGCAGCAAUGCAUGGAGCUGACUGUUACUAAUCGGGUGAGGGCUUGACCU